CCAUUUCCUCUCUCGUAAAUUACGUGACAUAUAUAUAUAUAUAUAGUUUGUACAAAAGCCAUAAACACCAUUACUUAACAUCGAUCCAUAUAUAUCAUACUUGAUAACUUAUUGCAUUUGAAUUUGAAAGCAAAGAAAUGGCUCAUUCCAAGCUUAUAGCAGCUGCAUUGUUGAUUUUACUCUUUGUUGAUCUUGCCUUUUGUGCAAGAUUAGGAAAGUCGGUAAAUGGUAAAGGAGGAGGAGGUGGAGGUGGUGGAGGUGGAGGAAGAGGUGGUGGUGGUGGUGGAGGGUCAGCCUUAGGGUCUGGUUCAGGUUAUGGUUCAGGGGAAGGCUCGGGAUAUGGUGGGGGUGACGGGCUGUAUGGAAGUGGUGGAGGUGGUGGCAGUGGAGGCGGCGGGGGA
Molecule: long non-coding RNA, 401 nt
Filed under: Nicotiana tabacum (common tobacco)
Lineage: Eukaryota; Viridiplantae; Streptophyta; Magnoliopsida; Solanales; Solanaceae
Description: long non-coding RNA (NTAB_LNC004326)
Source: RNAcentral